Molecule: ribosomal RNA, 527 nt
Filed under: uncultured marine microorganism
Description: bacterial SSU rRNA
Rfam family: Bacterial small subunit ribosomal RNA
Source: RNAcentral
AGGGUUCGAUUAUGGCUCAGGUUGAACGCUGGCGGCAGGCUUAACACAUGCAAGUCGAGCGGAAACGAUGGGAGCUUGCUCCCAGGCGUCGAGCGGCGGACGGGUGAGUAACGCGUAGGAAUCUGCCCAGUAGAGGGGGAUAGCCCGAGGAAACUCGGAUUAAUACCGCAUACGCCCUACGGGGGAAAGCAGGGGAUCUUCGGACCUUGCGCUAUUGGAUGAGCCUGCGUGAGAUUAGCUAGUUGGUGGGGUAAAGGCCUACCAAGGCGACGAUCUCUAGCUGGUCUGAGAGGAUGAUCAGCCACACUGGGACUGAGACACGGCCCAGACUCCUACGGGAGGCAGCAGUGGGGAAUAUUGGACAAUGGGGGCAACCCUGAUCCAGCCAUGCCGCGUGUGUGAAGAAGGCCUUAGGGUUGUAAAGCACUUUCAGUAGGGAGGAAGGCUCUGUAGUUAAUACCUGCAGGGAUUGACGUUACCUACAGAAGCAGCACCGGCUAACUCCGUGCCAGCAGCCGCGGUAAUAC